AUUCUGCCCAUGCUGGAAGGAUGAGAAUCUUCGACUAAGGUUCGAUUCGAGCGUCAGCGAGAAAGC
Molecule: small RNA, 66 nt
Filed under: Citrobacter sp. wls710
Lineage: Bacteria; Pseudomonadati; Pseudomonadota; Gammaproteobacteria; Enterobacterales; Enterobacteriaceae
Description: partial RtT sRNA
Rfam family: RtT RNA
About the family: This family represents a bacterial cis-regulatory element known as RtT RNA. The exact function of RtT is unknown although it is thought that it may be involved in changing the cellular response in relation to amino acid starvation.
Source: RNAcentral